GCCUCCGUAGCUCAGGGGAUAGAGCGCCGGUUUCCGGUACCGUAGGUCGGGAGUUCGAAUCUCUCCGGGGGCACCA
Molecule: transfer RNA, 76 nt
Filed under: Leucobacter weissii
Lineage: Bacteria; Bacillati; Actinomycetota; Actinomycetes; Micrococcales; Microbacteriaceae
Description: tRNA-Arg
Rfam family: tRNA
About the family: Transfer RNA (tRNA) molecules are approximately 80 nucleotides in length. Their secondary structure includes four short double-helical elements and three loops (D, anti-codon, and T loops). Further hydrogen bonds mediate the characteristic L-shaped molecular structure. tRNAs have two regions of fundamental functional importance: the anti-codon, which is responsible for specific mRNA codon recognition, and the 3' end, to which the tRNAs corresponding amino acid is attached (by aminoacyl-tRNA synthetases). tRNAs cope with the degeneracy of the genetic code in two manners: having more than one tRNA (with a specific anti-codon) for a particular amino acid; and 'wobble' base-pairing, i.e. permitting non-standard base-pairing at the 3rd anti-codon position.
Source: RNAcentral